This 467-nucleotide ribosomal RNA is filed under the name uncultured bacterium. RNAcentral describes it as "partial 16S ribosomal RNA". It matches the Rfam family "Bacterial small subunit ribosomal RNA", at positions 29 to 507 of the family's 1533-position model. The record is from RNAcentral.
ACGCACGCUGGCGGCGUGCUUCACACAUGCCAGUCGAACGGAAAGGCCCUGCUUUUGUGGGGUGCUCGAGUGGCGAACGGGUGAGUAACACGUGAGUAACCUGCCCUUGACUUUGGGAUAACUUCAGGAAACUGGGGCUAAUACCGGAAAGGAGCUCCUGCUGCAUGGUGGGGGUUGGAAAGUUUCGGCGGUUGGGGAUGGACUCGCGGCUUAUCAGCUUGUUGGUGGGGUAGUGGCUUACCAAGGCUUUGACGGGUAGCCGGCCUGAGAGGGUGACCGGCCACAUUGGGACUGAGAUACGGCCCAGACUCCUACGGGAGGCAGCAGUGGGGAAUAUUGCACAAUGGGCGGAAGCCUGAUGCAGCAACGCCGCGUGCGGGAUGACGGCCUUCGGGUUGUAAACCGCUUUCGCCUGUGACGAAGCGUGAGUGACGGUAAUGGGUAAAGAAGCACCGGCUAACUACGUG